RNAcentral lists this ribosomal RNA (440 nucleotides) under uncultured bacterium. RNAcentral's name for it is "partial 16S ribosomal RNA". It matches the Rfam family "Bacterial small subunit ribosomal RNA", at positions 338 to 795 of the family's 1533-position model. The record is from RNAcentral.
CCUACGGGUGGCAGCAGUGGGGGAUAUUGCACAAUGGGGGAAACCCUGAUGCAGCGACGCCGCGUGUGGGAAGACGGUCCUCUGGAUUGUAAACCACUGUCCCCAGGGACGAAGCUGACGGUACCUGGGGAGGAAGCUCCGGCAAACUACGUGCCAGCAGCGGCGGUAAUACGUGGGGAGCGAGCUUUGUCCGGAAUUAGGGGGUGUAAGGGGGGCGUAGGCGGGACUGAAAGUUGGGUGUCAAAUCUUCCGGCUCAACCGGUAGCCGCACUCAAAACUGCAGUUCUUGAGUGAAGUAGGGGCAGGCGGAAUUCCUAGUGUAGCGGUGAAAUGCGUAGAUAUUAGGAGGAACACCAGUGGCGAAGGCGGCCUGCUGGGCUUUUACUGACGCUGAGGCACGAAAGUGUGGGGAGCAAACAGGAUUAGAUACCCGUGUAGUC